RNAcentral lists this ribosomal RNA (252 nucleotides) under uncultured bacterium. RNAcentral's name for it is "partial 16S ribosomal RNA". It matches the Rfam family "Bacterial small subunit ribosomal RNA", at positions 525 to 776 of the family's 1533-position model. The record is from RNAcentral.
ACGUAGGGCGCAAGCGUUAUCCGGAUUUAUUGGGCGUAAAGAGCUCGUAGGCGGUUCGUCGCGUCUGGUGUGAAAGCCCAUCGCUUAACGGUGGGUCUGCGCCGGAUACGGGCGGGCUUGAGAGUGGUAGGGGAGACUGGAAUUCCCGGUGUAACGGUGGAAUGUGUAGAUAUCGGGAAGAACACCAAUGGCGAAGGCAGGUCUCUGGGCCAUUUCUGACGCUGAGGAGCGAAAGCGUGGGGAGCGAACAGG